UAUAUUCAUACAUAUAUGUGUGUAUACAGAUGGGCAAUUACAAUUUACAAAUAUUUUCAAAGUAAUAAGGAUUCAUAAACAUAAAUUACAUAGUCCCCUAGCAGCUUCUUCUAAUUAGGACCCCAGCAACUCAAGUACAUAACAGUUCUGAGAGACUCCUCAGCCUGCUUAAGCUUCUGAUCGUUUUUGGCAGCCUUAAAAUCACCAGAAUUAACAGCACCAGAGAAACGCCGGGUCUGCUUUGAAGAAGAAGAAUAAACAGAGUCUUUCAAAGACUUGACAGUUGAAUCACACNNNNNNUGCCCUGUACCACUCGCAUCCCUGCCUGGAACACCACCCUGCUCAUGUAUCUCAAGCUCAUAUGUAACAAAACCUAAAUUCUGUUUUAACACCUAGAUAACG
This 402-nucleotide unclassified non-coding RNA is filed under the name Hevea brasiliensis (rubber tree). Lineage: Eukaryota; Viridiplantae; Streptophyta; Magnoliopsida; Malpighiales; Euphorbiaceae. The record is from RNAcentral.